This 29-nucleotide small RNA is filed under the name Bombyx mori (domestic silkworm). Its description in RNAcentral is "ovarian small RNA-9742". The record is from RNAcentral. Lineage: Eukaryota; Metazoa; Arthropoda; Insecta; Lepidoptera; Bombycidae.
UUGCUUGUGAAGCUCUCCACAGUGAUGGA